GCCCCUAGCAACAGGAAGAGACCCUCAGCUGCUGGGGAGUCCUUGCCCCAAAUCAAUCCCCCAACACACUGAGAAUCUCCUGACCUCCAGUUUCCAUCCUAGACCCCCUGGGGAGGAGAGGGACUUAGGGAGCCCUGCCUUGUCAUACACCAUCAAUAAA
Long non-coding RNA from Phyllostomus discolor (pale spear-nosed bat), 160 nucleotides. RefSeq lists it as uncharacterized. NCBI's taxonomy places the organism in Eukaryota, Metazoa, Chordata, Mammalia, Chiroptera, Phyllostomidae. The transcript has 3 exons. The record is from RefSeq and is a predicted model, not a curated record.